GUCAGGAUGGCCGAGCGGUCUAAGGCGCCAGACUCAAGGUUCAUAACCUUACCCGUCUAUGACGGGUAUACGGAGGCUUCUGGUCCUCUCUGAGGGCGUGGGUUCGAAUCCCACUUCUGACA
Molecule: non-coding RNA, 122 nt
Organism: Trachymyrmex cornetzi
Lineage: Eukaryota; Metazoa; Arthropoda; Insecta; Hymenoptera; Formicidae
Source: Rfam